AUGAGAAAUUUGAUUGUUAUUAUAUUAUCUCGAGCACCAUUGCUAACAUCGUCAUUAGCAGAACAAUGUGGUAAACAAGCUGGAAAUGCUCUGUGCCCAAAUCGGCUCUGCUGUAGCCAGUACGGUUGGUGUGGCUCUACAGCUGAUUAUUGCACAAAUGGCUGCCAGAGCCAAUGCAAGAACGGUGGUGGUUCAUCCCCUACGCCAUCUAACCCCACCCCGGCCCCCGGUGGCGGAGGUGGCGUUGACUCACUUAUCAGUCCAGCCCUUUUCAACCAAAUGUUGAAAUAUCAUAACGAUCCAAGAUGCUCCAGCAUUGGGUUCUAUACGUACACUGCAUUUAUCACUGCUGCAAAAUCUUUCAAUGGCUUUGGAACAACUGGUGACGUUGCUACUCGUAAAAGAGAAAUUGCUGCAUUCUUGGGCCAGACUUCACAUGAAACUAUAGGUGGGUGGCUAAGUACACCAGAUGGUCCGUAUGCAUGGGGUUAUUGCUUCAUAAAAGAAAUAGGUACCUCGGGGUCUUUCUGUGAUUCUCCAGACUGGCCUUGCCCUGCCGGAAGACGAUACUAUACCCCCAUACAACUCACUCACAACUUUAACUAUGGAAAAGCCGGCAGAGCAAUUGGAGUGGAUAUCUCAUAAACAAUCCGGACUUGGUAGCAACAGAUGCUGUGGUUUCAUUCAAGACGGCAAUCUGGUUCUGGAUGACGCCGCAGGGAAACAAACCUUCAAGCCACGCCGUCAUUACUGGGGGAUGGACCCCAUCCAGUGCUGAUAGGGCGGCUGGUAGGGCUUCAGGUUACGGGGUCAUCACCAACAUUAUUAACGGUGGAGUCGACUGUGGCAUGGGUACUAAUGCUAAGGUGGCUGAUCGGAUUGGUUUCUACAAGAGAUAUUGUGAUGUAUUCAAAAUCGGCUACGGAAGUAAUCUGGAUUGCUACCCUUUCAUCAAAUCCUGAGAAAAUAUGAGACCAAAUAUUAGGCAACAAAACAUGAGGAAUUGGAUUUUGAUUCUGUUAACUCUAGCCCCAUUGUUCACAACAUCAUCACUAGCAGAACAAUGUGGAAGACAGGCAGGGAAUGCUCUGUGCCCAAAUGGGCUGUGCUGUAGCCAGUAUGGUUGGUGUGGCUCCACCCCCGACUACUGCUCUCCCUCUAACAAUUGCCAGAGCCAGUGCAGUGGUUCAACCCCUAGCCCCGGCGGUGGUGGUUCAACCCCUGGCCCCGGCAGUGGUACAGGCAUUUCCUCCCUCAUCAGUCAAGCUCUUUUUGAUCAAAUGCUGAAAUACCGUAACGAUCCAAGAUGCCCCAGCAAUGGGUUCUAUAGUUACAACGCUUUUAUCACUGCUGCACAAUCCUUCCCGGGCUUUGCAACAACUGGUAAUGAUGAAACUCAAAAACGAGAAAUUGCUGCAUUUCUGGGACAGACUUCACAUGAGACUACAGGUGGAUGGCCUAGUGCACCAGAUGGUCCUUAUGCUUGGGGAUAUUGCUUCAUAACCGAAAAUGGCGCCUCUGGGUCUUUCUGCGAUUCUCCAUCCUGGCCGUGUCCUGCUGGUAAACAAUACUACGGCAGAGGACCAAUACAAUUGACUCACAAUUACAACUACGGUUUAGCUGGCCAAGCAAUCGGAGCUGACCUCAUAAACAAUCCAGACUUGGUGGCAACGGACGCCGUUAUAUCCUUCAAGACAGCAAUUUGGUUCUGGAUGACACCACAGUCAAACAAGCCCUCAUGCCAUGACGUCAUCACUGGGGCAUGGACCCCAUCUGGUGCUGACACGUCGGCUGGCCGAGUCCCAGGAUACGGGGUCAUCACCAACAUUAUUAACGGUGGACUCGAGUGUGGCAUGGGUACUAAUGAUAAGGUCGCUGAUCGGAUUGGAUUCUACAAGAGGUACUGUGACCUAUUUGGAAUCGGCUACGGGAACAAUUUGGAUUGCUACAAUCAGAGACCUUUUGCCUAAAGCCAAACAGGGGACUACCGAAUUACCGUCCUCGUUUAAGCAUAAAUAACUGUUGUGUGUGACCCAUCAAGACCAAUACAUGUAUUUGAUGCGAUUUAUUAUUGGAUUUGCACUAAUAAAACACCGACAAUGAAUUGAUUUCUAGUUUAUUGCCAA
This is an RNA transcript of Coffea arabica (coffee), 2126 nucleotides long. RefSeq lists it as uncharacterized. The record is from RefSeq and is a predicted model, not a curated record. Lineage: Eukaryota; Viridiplantae; Streptophyta; Magnoliopsida; Gentianales; Rubiaceae.